RNAcentral lists this unclassified non-coding RNA (315 nucleotides) under plant metagenome. Its description in RNAcentral is "partial contains 5.8S ribosomal RNA, internal transcribed spacer 2, and large subunit ribosomal RNA". The stretch from base 1 to 105 matches the Rfam family "5.8S ribosomal RNA", at positions 50 to 154 of the family's 154-position model. The record is from RNAcentral.
GAAAUGCGAUAAGUAAUGUGAAUUGCAGAAUUCAGUGAAUCAUCGAAUCUUUGAACGCACAUUGCGCCUAUUAGUAUUCUAGUAGGCAUGCCUGUUCGAGCGUCAUUGCUGCCCUUCAAGCCCGGCUUGUGUGUUGGGUCGUCGUCCCCUCCGGGGGACGGGCCCGAAAGGCAGCGGCGGCACCGCGUCCGGUCCUCGAGCGUAUGGGGCUUUGUCACCCGCUCGAUAAGGACCGGCCGGGCGCCAGCCGGCGUCUCCAACCUUUUUUUCUCAGGUUGACCUCGGAUCAGGUAGGGAUACCCGCUGAACUUAAGC